This 226-nucleotide ribosomal RNA is filed under the name uncultured prokaryote. Its description in RNAcentral is "partial 16S ribosomal RNA". It matches the Rfam family "Bacterial small subunit ribosomal RNA", at positions 524 to 748 of the family's 1533-position model. The record is from RNAcentral.
UACGGGGGGGGCAAGCGUUGUUCGGAAUUACUGGGCGUAAAGGGCGCGUAGGCGGUCAGACCAAGUCGAAUGUGAAAUUCCAGGGCUUAACUCUGGCGGGUCGUUCGAUACUGGUCGACUAGAGUGUAGAAGAGGAUGUCGGAAUUCCCGGUGUAGCGGUGACAUGCGUAGAGAUCGGUAGGAACACCAGUGGCGAAGGCGGUCUCCUGGAGCUAUCUUGACGCUG